Molecule: long non-coding RNA, 753 nt
Organism: Ailuropoda melanoleuca (giant panda)
Lineage: Eukaryota; Metazoa; Chordata; Mammalia; Carnivora; Ursidae
Exons: 3
Source: RefSeq, a predicted model, not a curated record
UUGAUAAAACCAUUGUCCAGAUCAGUGGUUCUUAAGGCUGACUGCAAGUUAGAAUCACCGGGAAAGAUUCUAAAAACACUGGUGCCAGACUCCUUUCCCAAAUCAACCCAGGCAGGGGGGCGGGGAGAGAGGAUGUGUGUGUGUGUGUGUGUGUGUGUGUGUACUUGUGCACCUGUGUGUGUUUUAAGCCCCUAAUAGGGUGAUUCUAAUGGGUACCACAUAGGAGGCUGAAAAGCCAUAGGUCUAGGUCACUUUUUUUUUUUCAUUCUGGUUUCCAAAAUGAUAUUAUCCUCAAUUUAUGCCUUUUUCUUCAUUACUUUGCUGAGCUCUUAACGGGUAGAAGUGCUGUUUUAAGGAGCGACCCACGUGGUAUGUUGCAAAAUGAUCAGCUCCCAUUCGUAGCAGGAAGCCACUCCCACCUCUGCCCACCGCCUCCGUGCUUCCAGGGCGUCACCUCUCCAGGCACCUCAAGCUACUUUUGAAUGUCCAGAGCCUGUCACCCCACCAAGGCCACCCCCUCCUGUCCCAUCAGCCUCAGAGGUGAUCUUGGGGUGGUGUGGAUGGGCUUUUAAUUUCUCCACUUCUGUAACUUCUUUAAGGAAUCCUUAAGCAUGGCGGGGAAGCCCAAGCUUCAUUACUUCAGUGCACGAGGCAGAAUGGAGUCCAUCUGGCGGCUCUUGGCGGCAGCAGGAGUAGAGAGAUAGAGACAGCCAGCGAGAGAGGGAACACAAGCAGGGGGAGUGGGAGAGGAAG